This 246-nucleotide ribosomal RNA is filed under the name uncultured bacterium. RNAcentral's name for it is "partial small subunit ribosomal RNA". It matches the Rfam family "Bacterial small subunit ribosomal RNA", at positions 26 to 285 of the family's 1533-position model. The record is from RNAcentral.
AGAAUCAACGCUGGCGGCGUGCCUAACACAUGCAAGUCGAACGAGAAAGUGGAGCAAUCCAUGAGUACAGUGGCGACCGGGUGAGUAACGACGUGACCAACCUACCCUUGAGUGGGGGAUAACCUAGAGAAAUCUGGGCUAAUACCGCAUAAUACCUUCGGGUCAAAGGAGCAAUUCGCUUAAGGAGGGGGUCGCGGCCGAUUAGUUAGUUGGCGGGGUAAUGGCCCACCAAGACUAUGAUCGGUA